RNAcentral lists this ribosomal RNA (351 nucleotides) under uncultured bacterium. RNAcentral's name for it is "bacterial SSU rRNA". It matches the Rfam family "Bacterial small subunit ribosomal RNA", at positions 8 to 350 of the family's 1533-position model. The record is from RNAcentral.
AGAGUUUGAUCCUGGCUCAGGAUGAACGCUAGCUACAGGCUUAACACAUGCAAGUCGAGGGGCAGCGGGAUUGAAGCUUGCUUCAAUUGCCGGCGACCGGCGCACGGGUGAGUAACGCGUAUCCAACCUUCCGUACACUCAGGGAUAGCCUUUCGAAAGAAAGAUUAAUACCUGAUGGUAUGAUGAAAUUGCAUGAUAGCAUCAUUAAAGAUUUAUCGGUGUACGAUGGGGAUGCGUUCCAUUAGGUAGUAGGCGGGGUAACGGCCACUAGCCUACGAUGGAUAGGGGUUCUGAGAGGAACGGUCCCCCANAUUGGAACUGAGACACGGUCCAAACUCCGUACGGGAGGCA